CGAAAGUUACGCUAAUACCGCAUAUUCUGUGAGCAGGAAAGCAGGGGAUCGCAAGACCUUGCGCUGAUUGAGCGGCCGAUACUCAGAUUAGCUAGUUGGUGGGGUAAAGGCCUACCAAGGCUACGAUCUGUAGCGGGUCUGAGAGGAUGAUCCGCCACACUGGAACUGAGACACGGUCCAGACUCCUACGGGAGGCAGCAGGUGGGGUAAUUUUGGACAAUGGGGGCAACCCUGAUCCAGCCAUGCCGCGUGAGUGAAGAAGGCCUUCGGGUUGUAAAGCUCUUUCGGCCGGGAAGAAAUCGCACAGGUUAAUACCCUGUGUGGAUGACGGCACCGGAAUAAGAAGCACCGGCUAACUACGUG
This 363-nucleotide ribosomal RNA is filed under the name uncultured bacterium. Its description in RNAcentral is "bacterial SSU rRNA". It matches the Rfam family "Bacterial small subunit ribosomal RNA", at positions 152 to 507 of the family's 1533-position model. The record is from RNAcentral.